GAAAUGCGAUAAGUAAUGUGAAUUGCAGAAUUCAGUGAAUCAUCGAAUCUUUGAACGCACCUUGCGCUCCUUGGUAUUCCUUGGAGCAUGCCUGUUUGAGUAUCAUGAAAUCUUCAAAGUAAAUCUUUUGUUAACUCAAUUGGUUUCUACUUUGGUAUUGGAGGUCUUUGCAGCUUCACACCUGCUCCUCUUUGUUCAUUAGCUGGAUCUCAGUGUUAUGCUUGGUUCCACUCGGCGUGAUAAGUUAUCUAUCGCUGAGGACACUGUAAAAGGUGGCCAAGGUAAAUACAGAUGAACCGCUUCUAAUAGUCCAUUGACUUGACAAUACUUUUAUGAUCUGAUCUCAAAUCAGGUAGGACUACCCGCUGAACUUAAGC
Molecule: unclassified non-coding RNA, 377 nt
Filed under: plant metagenome
Description: partial contains 5.8S ribosomal RNA, internal transcribed spacer 2, and large subunit ribosomal RNA
Rfam family: 5.8S ribosomal RNA (bases 1-105)
Source: RNAcentral